UACGUAGGGGGCAAGCGUUGUCCGGAUUCAUUGGGCGUAAAGAGCGUGUAGGCGGCCAGGUAGGUCGGUUGUGAAAACUGGAGGCUCAACCUUCAGACGUCGAUCGAAACCAUCUGGCUAGAGUCCGGGAGAGGAGAGUGGAAUUCCUGGUGUAGCGGUGAAAUGCGCAGAUAUCAGGAAGAACACCCGUGGCGAAAGCGGCUCUCUGGAACGGCACUGACGCUGAGACGCGAAAGCGUGGGGAGCGAACAGG
This 253-nucleotide ribosomal RNA is filed under the name uncultured bacterium. Its description in RNAcentral is "partial 16S ribosomal RNA". It matches the Rfam family "Bacterial small subunit ribosomal RNA", at positions 524 to 776 of the family's 1533-position model. The record is from RNAcentral.